GUAGUCUCGCACAGAUGCAUAUCAAUAAGCGGAGGAAAAGAAACUAACAAGGAUUCCCCUAGUAACGGCGAGUGAAGCGGGAAGAGCUCAAAUUUGAAAUCUUAAAGGGUUUCCCUUUACGAAUUGUAGUUUAAAGAAGUGUUUUCUGUUGAGGUUUUGGUAAAAGUUCCUUUGGAAUAGGACAUCAUAGAGGGUGAGAAUCCCGUAUUUGACCUUUACUUUCAACUUUGUGAUACACUUUCAAAGAGUCGGAUUGUUUGGGAAUGCAGUCCAAAAUGGGUGGUAAAUUUCAUCUAAAGCUAAAUAUUGGCGAGAGACCGAUAGCGAACAAGUACCGUGAGGGAAAGAUGAAAAGAACUUUGAAAAGAGAGUUAAACAGUACGUGAAAUUGUCAAAAGGGAAGCGUUUGACACCAGUGUUGUUUUUUCUGAAAAUCAAUUAAAGAACUGUUUAUGCUAAGCUGUUUAGACUUUAUCAGCUAACUGUUUAGUUUUGAGCUUUUCUUUAAUGCACUUUUCAGUUAACAAGUCAACAUCAAUUUCUUUUGCUGUAAAAAAGCUUGAGGAAGGUGGCUUGAGAUUCGUCUUAAGUGUUUAUAGCCUCUUGCCUAUGCAGUCGGAGAGAUUGAGGUCUGCAGCGUAGAUCCUUCGGGGCUAAAUGCAUUUGUGCUAAGUUAUAGCAUUUUAUAGACAACUUGUUGACUAUGAUUUGUCUUGUAGCUUACUCGCUUAUGUUAUUUUACCUACGCUUAGGAUGUUGAAGACUCUACAGAGAUA
RNAcentral lists this ribosomal RNA (776 nucleotides) under uncultured Neocallimastigales. RNAcentral describes it as "partial large subunit ribosomal RNA". It matches the Rfam family "Eukaryotic large subunit ribosomal RNA", at positions 24 to 627 of the family's 3401-position model. The record is from RNAcentral. Lineage: Eukaryota; Fungi; Neocallimastigomycota; Neocallimastigomycetes; Neocallimastigales.